CCCCAUUUUACACGAGCGCACUAAACACAUUGAUGUUAGACUCCACUUCAUUAGAGAUAUAGUAUCUCAAGAGGAUGUAAUACUUGAAAAGGUCCACACACACUACAACCCUUCCGAUAUGGGCAUGAAGGUACUGCAACUGGCAAAGUUUAGAAGUUGCAAGGAACUUCUAAACAUUGGUACAGGUAAAUGAUUUCCAAUUUUAUUGGUUUUUCGUUAGAGGUGUUACUAAUAGGAAACUUUCUUUUUUGCAGGUCUUUUGACAUCAAAGUGGAGGUUGUUGGACAUAUUGUUGUCAAAUGACCUCUCGGGCGAUGAUGUAAACCAUUUAUUAAUUAUCAGUCAACGAUUGCGAUAUGACUAAGCAAUAAAUCAAUACCAAAUUAUAACGACCCGACCCAAGAAGAGAUUUGACCAUUUGAAGCAACCAAUUAAGUUGUGUUGCUCAUAAGCCAUGUUUUUACCUAUUUGGAUGGCUAGCUAGUUUUUGAGGUCCACACUGUUGUCCACUUACAUGUUAUUGGACCUUGACCCAUUACCUAAAACCUAACUUACGAUAAUUUGAGACUUGGUCCAAUAUAUUCUCUCUACUCUUCACGCCACUAUGUAAGAAAUAAGACUUGGUGUCUCUUUCUUCUCCCUGCGUGACCUCUCUCGACCUUCACCACUUCCAUCUUCUGUGAUUCUUUUUAAGGCAUAUAUCUUGGUGAUAUUUCCCUCCUUUGUGGUGUUCUUGAAGUGGCAAAAAGCUUAGCAACCAUAGGCGAAACCUUUGUGGUGUUCUUGGGUCGUUUGCUUUGGUAUUGAUUCGAUUUCUUGGUGAACUGAGCUUGUAUAUCGCCUUGGUGGUUGAUGAUUCCUCUCCCUUACAAAUGUCCCCUCCUAGAAGAUUUAUCACCACUUUCUUCUUCCAUGGAUUGGGCAUCAUCUUUUAGGGAACUCUGGGACAGAACUCGAUUUGGAAGCUUUAUUCUUAAUUAUUUCCUCUCUGAACCAAUUAGGUCCCAAAGCCUUUCUAGGCCACUUAGAAUAACUGAAAACACCAAUGCAUCCCCAUUGAAAGCUACUGUAGGAUGAAAUGCAGAGCCGGUGCCGAAACAAAAGAUGCACCUAUUAUUGGGUCUGUUGGUUGAAAAGUUGUCCCAGUUGGAAACAGUGGUGUAGAAUGUCCAGAUGCCGGAGAAGGCAUGCAACCACUGAAUGGUCAAGAUCUGAAGCAGCAGGAGCUCAAGUGUAGUUUGAAGGUAUAUCUGCAACAGUAUCCACAGCUCUCGAAGGACCUCCAGAAAAUGAGCACGAUGUUGCAAAUGUGGCUCCCGAUUCCGAUUAAAAUGAGGUUCAAAAUAUUGGAAUAUUCUAAUAUGGGCUUUACAUUUGAUUAUUAAUUUUACGGGUUAGAUGUAUGACUUAUAAUGAUAUUUAUGAUUAGGCCAAUUAUGUGAAGUAAUCAAUUUGGGCCAUUUUACACCUUACGGGCUUUAUUUGAUAUAAUGUGGUAUUUUUGAGUAUGUGGGCCAGAAUUAUGUGUAAACUCUAAUUAGGGUUCAAGUCGAUAAUGUGACGACUAAAUAAAUUCCUAUAUAAAAGCUAGGUCUCCUCUCCUCUCCAUAUUAUUUUAUUAGCCUGUCCCAUUGACGACUAAUACUUUGUGAG
RNAcentral lists this long non-coding RNA (1653 nucleotides) under Olea europaea subsp. europaea. The record is from RNAcentral. Lineage: Eukaryota; Viridiplantae; Streptophyta; Magnoliopsida; Lamiales; Oleaceae.